ACAUGUGUGCUAAGGGCCAUAUAGUGAGGCUAACGUUGCGAAUGGAGAUCGAUGUUGGCAUUUUCUUCGGUGAGAAACCUACAUCUAUCAUAAAAUAAUUGAACAAAAGGGUGCAAGAAAUAACACAAUAAGAAAGACUCCUGCCUUCCUCACUCACUGGUCUAAACCUCCAAACGAAAAACGAAAUGAACUUCCUCUAUAGGUCACUCCCCCUCCUCUGUCGCUCCAUCUCCUCGAAGAUCCCUUCUUCUCCCAGACCCCAUUUUCCUCCUUCUCCUCCUCUCUUCUCGAGGUCCAUCUCCAACCCUAACCCCACCGCUGGACUUAUCCCCAAUCCAUCCUUGUCAUGGCGCCGGUUCUGCAACCUCGAUCGACUCCAGCCCCAGCAAUGGCACCAUAACCGCCGCACCAUCCUCCAACCCCUCGCCGUUCUUCUUGGUGUCAUCGUUGGCGGCGGAGGCAUCAUCUAUUACCGCUAUUUUGAGACCGUCCCUUUCAGUAACAACUCCCGCUUGGUCAUCGUCUCUCCUUUGGCUGAGCGAGAUAUCAGCGAGAUCGAGUUUCAGAAGCUGAAGAACGGCCUCGAGGGCAGGAUCCUCCCCGGCAACCAUCCCGACACCAUCCGCGUCCGCCGCAUCUCCGAGAACAUCAUCGAAGCCAUUCAACCAUGUCUCAACCAUGACAAGCGGCAGUGGGGCAAUCUCAGUUACGCUUUUGAGAUCCAUGACAAGUGGCAGUGGGGAGAUCUCUGGUACGCUUGUGAGAUCCAAGCUCUUGAGCAGUCCCCGGAGACCACGAAGAAGGCGGCGGAGGCUGAGAGUUGGGAGGUGCUUGUGGUGAGCGAUAAAACUUUCUAUGCCUUUUGCCUUCCGUGUCGCAAGAUUGUGGUUUCCACCAGAGUUCUUGAUCAUCUCAGGACGGAUGCCGAGAUCGCCACUUUGCUUGGGCAUGAGGGAUUUUUAUUUGUUUCUUGGAGGUUGCCCAUGUUGUUGUUCGCCAUGGUGCGGAGAUUGCUACAAAAGGCUUGUGGAUGGAUAUUCAUUUCAGGCUAGGGGUGUUAAUGGGGCGGGGAAUCCCCGAUCCCCGUGGGGACCCGACCCGACGGGGAUGGGAAUUCCCUAAUCCCCUAUCUCCGCAGGGACCUGACUCGACGGGGAUGGGAAUUCCCCGAAUCCCUCCCCCAUGGGGGCGGGGACGGGGGCCAAUCCGUCCCCGUUUCCUAAAUGGGAAUGGGGACGGGGAAUGCUCUCCCCGCCCCGUGGGGAUCCCAACCCGAUUGAAAUAUAUAUAUAUAUAUAUAUUCUGUAUGUAUGUAUACUUUUUUCAACAUUAAAAAAUUCAAUGGCCUAGGUAAUAAUAUAAAAAACUCUAAUUUUAAUUUAAUUGUGCUAAUCAUAUAAACUAUUUAUUUUAAAUUAAUAACAAUUAAAAUUAGAUAUAAAAGCCCUUUGUUAAGUACUAGAGAAUCCCCGUGGGGAUCUCCACGGGGAGGAAAUCCCCGCGGGGAUGGAGAUGGGGAAGAGAAUUCCCCCAUCGGAGAAUCGGGGAUGGGGAAUCCCCGUCCCCGCCCCGCCCCGCCCGUUACCACCCCUAUUUCAGGCCACGUUUCUGUUGUCUUGGUCCUGAAAAAAUAGUGGAUGCUUUACUGCGGAAAGAGGACCUCUGCACAAGAAUGGAAAUGGAGGCAGAUCAUAUUGGCCUCUUGUUGAUGGCCUAUGCGGGAUAUGACCCAAGUGUCGCACCAAGGGUUUAUGAAAAACUUACAGGGAUCAAGUGGAAGACUUUAUGGCACUAUUCCUCAACUCGCCCUGCAAGCUUGGAAAGAACAGAACAGAUGGAAGCAGCACUGUCUGUGUACAGGGGUGUGUUUGCCAGUACUGUUUGUUUCUGAUUUCCUUAUUAAUUGGGCAUGUAAAUCGACUUUUCUUUAGUAUCUUCAUGUUUUUAUGGAGUAAGAUUUUUAAGUUAUAUCACUUAAUCUAUUUUCAGAAGAAA
This is an RNA transcript of Dioscorea cayenensis subsp. rotundata (Guinea yam), 1995 nucleotides long. RefSeq lists it as uncharacterized. The record is from RefSeq and is a predicted model, not a curated record. Lineage: Eukaryota; Viridiplantae; Streptophyta; Magnoliopsida; Dioscoreales; Dioscoreaceae. The transcript is spliced from 3 exons.